This is a long non-coding RNA of Ictalurus punctatus (channel catfish), 2442 nucleotides long. RefSeq lists it as uncharacterized. NCBI's taxonomy places the organism in Eukaryota, Metazoa, Chordata, Actinopteri, Siluriformes, Ictaluridae. The record is from RefSeq and is a predicted model, not a curated record. The transcript is spliced from 3 exons.
UGGCGUAGAAAGUGCUCCACCGUUUAUUUGUAAACCCUGUGGAGGUAACUGCAGUUUUACGAGCAGUUUAGGAAUGAAUCUGACGAGAUCUAGUCCGUCCUUUACACUUUAGGACGUGAUGGGGUGUCUGAAUGCCCACCUCUUUGAGUUACACCACACCCCCAUUUGGAUCUGACUGACUGGAAAAAAAACAUCUAAAAAUGGAUAGAUUGAGGAUAACCUUUGCACCACUGAAUCAAGAUUACAGACUGUAUUAAUAAAGUCCACGAUCACCAUGGCUUAAAGUCAAGGCUAUACUUUUGACUAACACUGUGACGGUGAACCUUCUUUCCAACUUUUGUUUCAGUCAUCGCCAUCAGAUUCUUUAAAGGGGAACUUUUUUCAGAACUGAGAAAACGUGAGACAUUUAUUUCUUUAUUAGCGUGUCCCUGCGGCAAUUCGUUACAGCAGAUACAAACAGCAUUCUUUUUUUUUUCCCCUCUCCUGAAGUUCUGCUUUAUGUCAGACUGUUAUGAAGAGCCGACAUCGAAGUGUUUAACUAUGGCUCUGGCCCGUCGAAGCACGGACUCCACGAGACCUCUGAAGGUGUGCUGUGGUAUCUGGCACCAAGACGUUAGCAGCUGAUCCUUUAAAUCCUGUAAGUUGCGAGGUGGGGCCUCCAUGGAUCGGACUUGUUUGUCCGGUGCAUCCGACAGACGCUCAGUCGGACUGAGAUCUGGGGAAUUUGGAGGCCAGGACCCGAGGUUUCCUGGCAGAACAUUACCCAGAGCAUCACACUGCCUCUGCUGGCUUGCUUUCUUCCCAUAGUUUAUCCUGCUGCCAUCUCUUCCCAAAGUAAGUGACGCACACGCACCUGGCCAUCCAUGUGAUGUAAAAGAAAAAACGUGAGUGAUCAGACUAGACCACCUUCUGGACACUGGUUUUAAUGUUAUAGCUGAUUGGUGUAUGUGAUUAGUGGAGAUGAAAACCGGGAUAAUUAUUGGUAAGCUGUGACACCCGGUGGCCGUCUUUGAUACAGCAACUACUUUAGAAUAUAAUAAAAUCUUCCAAAUCAUUUGUACAAACUGGAAUACUCUGGAUACAGUAUUUAAAUGAUGUAAAUAACAGUAUUAAACAACAACAUAGGACAUUUUCCAUUAUACAUGAAUUUAUAUAAGUAACCCGUAGGGGUCAGCAAAGUCCACUUUAACAACAAAACUAACUAAAACAAGAAUAGUUAUGCCCGGCGAUAUUAGCCGAUGAAGCCUGGUCAGUCCCUAUGAUAAUCUAUUGCUCAGGUCAGUGUUGGUAUUUGAAAAGAAAUCAACUCUGCAUUUAAUUAUUUUUGUCGUCACUUUUUGUGCAAGAAAAAGAAACCCUCACAUUGCAAACAGCAUGGUAAAAGAGGGGUGUCAAGUACACGUCCCGAUCAAGAUUGUAAUCCAGCCCAAGAACAGAAUUUAGAACAGAAAUGACUGUAAUUGAAUCGAAAGAUUUAAUAUAUUUUAUUUAUAUAGGCUUUUCUCCCACCAAAGGUCAGAGAAACACAGAACACAGAAACAAUGUGCUAACAAUAUGUAAUUCUUCAAAAAUUAUGACAUAUAAUCCCAAUUAAAUCUGUUUCAUAUUAAUUCAAGGGAUUGGCACCCUGUCCAGGGUGUACCCCGCCUUGUGCCGGAUGUUCCCUGGGAUAGGCUCCAGGUUCACCGUGACCCUAUAGGAUAGGCGGUAUAGAAGAGGAAGGAUGUAUAAAGUUCAAGGGGGUUGAAUACUUAUGCAAGACAAUCUUCUUAAUCUGUUUUGUAGGUAAUAUAGGUUCAAUAAAUGUGUGGGGGUUUUUUGUUCCACUUGAUAUUAGUAAGUGUAACGUGACACAUUAUCUAUAAUGUGUUUCACACUCCUGUUAAUCCAGGUGGCUACCUAGAACAAGAAUUACGCAUUGGGAAAGUUUUUAGCCCAGUCCCAGUUGUACCGACUGCCCCAAUUCGGAAUCCGUGAUUAGCAUUCAGGUUGGAUACACGGGCGAAGUAGCAGGUGCUCCAGCAGUAGUCAGACACUUGGCCUUGGUGCUGCUAAAGAAGCCCUCUCACACCUUCGCCAGGCUUCGGCUUUGAAUUGCUGGAAAUCAAGCGGCUUGUAACACAAACGCCAGUGGGGUAUCACGGGCGCGAGAGUGAAAAGAAUCUGUGUUAAUGUGCUCGGCCAUCACACAGUGGAACAUAUUGCUUACAACCAGCACAAUGACUCCAGGGUGACUUAGGUUACGCGUUCCUGCCAAGCGGCGGAGUGUUACAGUGAGAGCGCAAGGCGCCGUCCUGAGAUAAGAAGAGGUGGAAUAGUGGACGAGUCUCAGAUUUCAGCCGUCAUCCAAAGGAUGCUGAUGGACGUGCUUGAAUGAGGCUUUUGAGGCGCAAUUCCACCUUAAUUAAAGUGGUCAGACAGUUUUGCAGUGGCCUGAGAGAA